This 207-nucleotide ribosomal RNA is filed under the name uncultured bacterium. Its description in RNAcentral is "partial 16S ribosomal RNA". It matches the Rfam family "Bacterial small subunit ribosomal RNA", at positions 568 to 774 of the family's 1533-position model. The record is from RNAcentral.
CGCGUAGGCGGUCUGUUAAGUCAGCUGUGAAAGCCCCGGGCUCAACCUGGGAACUGCAGUUGAUACUGUCAGGCUGGAGCACGAGAGAGGGAGGUAGAAUUCCAUGUGUAGCGGUGAAAUGCGUAGAUAUAUGGAGGAAUACCAGUGGCGAAGGCGGCCUCCUGGCUCGAUACUGACGCUGAGGUGCGAAAGCGUGGGUAGCAAACA